UGACAGGACACGCACUGAGAGCUGAGACACGCUGGGAGUGGGAGAUGUAAUCCAAUUCCUCCUGAAGGCAACAGCCAAGAGUUUUUCACAAAGCUCUGCAGUGUUAACAAGGGAGCUGAGGGAACUGUGCCCGAUUGACCCUUACAGCAUGAAGAGCAGGGCAUGUAGAAGGCAGAUGGCAAGAAUGAAAUGCCCUUACGCAGAGAAUGGGAUUGAAACUAAGUUUUCCAUGCCUCAGACUGUUCUCAAGAGGUGAUUGUGCUAAUUCUUUCCUCUCACAAAUAUGUUCUUGGGCGAUCAAUCAAGAUGAACUUACAGAUGCCAUGAAGUCAUGAUGUUGAACAACCCCAACUCUACUUUCAGAAGUCAAAGAGGAUCUCAACAACACAGCUGGGGCUUGGACAAAAUUCUCUAGCAGCAGUCUGCAAAUUACAGUGAUUCCUUGAAGAGACAGAAAACAGAACAAAGCAACUUAACCUGGGAGGAGGAGUUCAAAUCUGUUUGGCUUGGACAAGUUUGAGAAGUGAGCCCACAUUAACCUAAUGUCCAAGUGCAAGGAACUGCACCUGGGCUGGGACAAUACCAAAUAUGAGUACAAACUGGACACUUUCCUGUGCAGCCUAUUGUAGGGAACCUGCUUUAACAGUGAGAUUGGACUUAAUAAUCUUCAGAGGUCCCUUCCAACCCCUGGGAGAAGAACUUGAGAGCAGACCUGCAGAGAAGGACUAAGGGGUUCUGGUAGGUAUGAGCUAGAUUUAAGCCAGCUGUGUGCACUUGCAGCCCAGAAGGUCAACAGAAUCCUGGGUGGAACUAAAGAGGGGUGGCAGCAGGGAGAGGGAGGGGAUUGUCCCUCUUUGCUCUGUCCUUGUGAGGUCCCAACUGGAGUACUGUAUCUGGGCCUGGGGCCCCAGCACCAGAAGGAUGCAAAGCUGUUGAGUGGGUCCAGAGGAGUCCAUGAAAAUGAUCAGGGGGAGGGAGCACCUCUCCUUUUGAGACAGGCUAGGAGAGCUGGGCUUUUCCAGCUUGGAGAAGAGGCUCCUGGGAGGCCUCCUUGUGGCCUUAAAGCAAGUUUUUGAACAAGACAGAAGCUGACCUUUUGUGCAGUCUGAUAGGCAUAGGACAAGGUGGAAGUGUCUUAAACUAAGAAAAGAAGAUUUAGGUUAGAUGUUAUACAGAAGUUCUUUACUCAGUGGGUGGUGAGGCACUGGCACAGCUACCCAGAGAAGCUGUGGUGUCCCAUCCCUGGAGGCACUCAAGGCCAGGUUGGAUGGGACCCUGGGCAGCCUGAGCUGGUGGGCGGCAGCCCUGCCCACGGCAGGGCCUGGGGCUGGGUGGGCCUUGAGGUCCAUUCCAACCCAAACCAUUCUGUGAUUUUAUAAUAUUCAGGAGGUACCUGUAUAUACAUUUAUUUUUCUAUAAACAUACAUAUUAUUUUUUUCUACAGGCUUUUGUCUAAACAUUAAUGCCCUAUGCAUUUGGUUUCUGUUAUGGGAUACGUUCAAGGAAUUGUUCUUGGAGAAGUGUCAUACAAAUAUAUAUAUCAACUUAAAUAACUGUGCUAAUAUAAAUUAUUCUCUGUGAUUUUGUUGACCCUGUUGAAUUUAUGCCGUGUACAUCUGCUUUACUUCGCUCUUUACAGUACUGUUCAUGGUUUAUCAUCUUUAGGCUCUUCAUUAGUUUUAUCCCCAUUCUUUGCUCUUCGUAUGGCAUGAAUUCUGUGCUGAAUUUGGGACUGAGUACAUUGGGAGCGAGCCUGGAAAUCAGGAGAAGCAGAGUUGCUUUUCUUCUCCGUUAUUCUGAUCCUUUGUGACUCCCGGUAAGUCCUUCGGUGCCUCUGAUUCUUCCUUCAUUUUUUCUUGACUAGGGCAAGCUCCUCAAGGAUUCUGUGCUCACAGGAUGAUUUGAACAAUGGAUCUAUUUGUAGCCUAGGUGGUACCAUGGUUCCCAAAUGGUGUAUGCUUUCCAAACGAGAAAAGCUUUCAUCAGAAAUAUGAUGCAUUUUCGUGAUCUGAUACGUUCAUUUACAGGUUUGUCCAUAAAUAUUUUUGCAGCUACACAGAGGGGAAAAUGAAUAUGGUCUUACAUACUUCACUUCUUCACGGAUGUUUGUAUGCUACCUUCCCUUCUGGGCUGUCUUAUUUAUUGUCUGUGCUGUGUGUUUGCUUGCAAAUCUGAAUCUUUCUCUACAGAUGCAGAGACUCUUAACUCCUUUCUCAUGGAGCAAACCAUCCAUCAGCACAUUUUGCCUUGAGGUCUGCAGAAUGUCAGGUUUGGGUCAGUUAGCAUUGUCUUCAGUGCCUAAAUCUUUGAAAACAAGUUCAUACUGUCAAUUUCUUGAAACAAUUCUGCAAUUGGUAGAUAUUCAUGUAGAUUAUACUCUCAUUAUCAUUAGACUGUUUAACCCAACAUUCUUAACCUUUCUUGUUAGGAUGGCUGAAACUAAGGACUGGUCCUCAGAUGAAGCAGUGGGUGAGGUUGGCUGAUCUUCGUGCUCUAGAAUGAUACAUCUUCUUAUUAGGAAAAGGUUUUGGGUGCUGUUCUUGUUUGGGUGUCUGGCUGCUGAGAAAGAUGCUUUGAAUGUACAGUCGUUUGUAAACAUGGAGUGGCAGAUGCAUUCAGUUAAAAUGUAAUUCCAGGCUUGUGGCUUACCCUUGAAAUGCUUUCUUCCAUCUAGCAGCACUACUGAGCUCUCAGUCUGAAGUUGAGCCAGCUGUCUGUCUUCCAGAUCCUUUCAAGCAAGUCUACGUUUGGUAUGGUUUUGCUUGUACCUGAUUCUGGUGAAUAACAGUAAAAGCUGGGGAAUGUGUGAAGAGGAUCUGAUGUUGCACUCUGAAGGCAGAACUAUGAAGAGAGAGUUUCAAGUAUCCAGCUUUUUUCACAGUGCUGUGACUAACUCUCCAUUUUAAAAAGCUUAUCUGGAUGUUGCCAAGGACACUUCUACUUCCUGGAUUGCUUUGCCUUUGGUGGAACAGGACGGAGUAGCUACGCUGCAUCAUUCAGGCAGAACAUGGUAUAGCUAAAAGCCAGUAUUGGUAGUUCUGCUCUUCCAAACGUUAAAAUGUAGAAAGGUGCUACAUUUUACAGAAAUAAAGGGGUAAAUGAAUUGGGGGGAAAAAAAAGAAAAACUUUCAUGCAUAAUUACAUAGAAAUUCUAUGUGUAAAAAGAAGCAUGAAUUGACCAUUCUAUUGACCUCCAGUAGAAUUUUCUGUUAGCUAAGAUCUAUGUAUUAAAGCCAAAGCCCAUCCCAGAUUCAUCCAUCAGUCCUGCUUGCGGAGUUUUACUGUAAUGAUUCAUUCAGGAUUUCAACUUUUGGAGAUGACUACUUAGUACUUUUGGCUUAGAUUUUUACUGCUUGUAAAGCUUGGUGUAUAGGCUUAUCAUUUCAGAAAUAACAUGAACUAGGUUAUGAGAUCAUUGUGAAAGAUUCUUCAUUAACUGUCAUACAACGCUCAUGGAACUAUAUUAUUUCAGGGGAUUUUUUCCUCAUUUCUCCCAGGAGAAAUUUUCAAGCUGGUGGGUUCUGAUAUAAAAUAUAUACAAUACUCAUUUUGUGCUCAAAGUUUCUUGAUAUAAAGAUCACUAGAUUAGAUUGCACAUACUUUUAGGGGGAAAAUAUUUUAGUUUGGAAACUGUAUUAAAGUGAAUGUAUCUCAAAAAUUAAAUCAUAGUAUGUGUGUGAUUAGAUAUGUAAUCUAAGUAUAUUUCAAAAUAUUAUACCAGACAUGUUACCUAACUCAAUCUACAUGCAUUGCUUUGGCAAGUUCAGAGUUUGCCUAAUAGGCUGAAGUCAAGAGAUAAGAAUAGCUUGUUCAGCAUGUCCAGACAAUGUAGUUAUGAAGGAAAGAAAGGAAGAAAAGAAGAAAACUUAGAGCAGUGGAAAUAUUUCAGGUAAAGGGACAGGAACCUAGAGUGUGAGAAGUGAAGCUGAACAUGUGAAUAUAACAAGAAGUGAUAGAACAGUACUGGUUCUUUUUAUUGUUCUAAUAAAGAUGAUUCAGGUCUGCUUUUAUUUCUCUCAGAAUCUGUGGCAAGUCUCUGUUUUCAUUUAUAGGAUAUGAGAGUAGAGCUUCUAGAGUACCCAUCUGGCCUGUCAAUGUUUAUUCUUUUUCACUGUGGUGAGGCUAUUGACGUUUUCUGGGCUUUUGCUCUGGAAAACUGAGUAGUCCAUGAUGAACGUGUGCCACUGCUAUUGCUAGGGAAAGACGUUAAGAUCCUUUGGUAGGAAGACAGGUGAUUUUCUGUCUGGCAUGGAGUUGUCAUUUCACUCACUGGUCAAAACUCUAAGGUAAGUACAGCCUUUCAGAGCUCUUGUUAAAUGCACUGCAUUAAUUCACAGUGUCUCCCUUAGCUUCUCAUAAUGUUAUCUUGCUCUUAAUCAAAGCUUCUGUUAAAGCUCAUCUCUUCCUAUGUUCCCUUGCACAGUUGAAUGUAGAUCUUUCUUUCAUAAUCUUCACUGUUUGCAGUUUAAUCUGCAUUAAUAUUUGACUUUAUUGCACAGUAAUAUUCACACACAAUGAGGGCAUUUAUGAUCCUGCAAAAGCACCAUCUUAAAUACAAGACAUGGGAAUUUUUUUUUGGAGGCCCACCCCUAGCCUUGCAAGACUUGCGGCACCAGCUCCUUCACAGUGUGAUUCACGGACAUGAAGUUAGGAACCUGUUGCUAACAAAUGCCAGUCUUCUGCAUUGCACCAAUAGUUCAGCAAAGGGAUUCAGGACCAAAAGUUAGCUUUCGGGAAUAAUAUGUCCUUAAUUUGGGCUUUAUUGCACUUUAUCUACAAUAUCUACGUGGGGAGUCUGGGUGAAAACUGACCGAUCUGUUUAACUUUACCAUGUUAGUGGCUAACCUUUUACAGUUUUAGAGCUGUUUGCAGAAUAUGACCCUCCUGCAGUGCACAAACCCUCUAAAGUCCUUUGUCAGCUAAACUGCAGUUGUCAGACAUGAGGGUUAUGGGAACGCUACAGACUAACUUUGUAGGAUUUGCUCCUGUCUUUGUCAUUAGUCAAACUUCUAACACUGGUUAAAAUGUACAUUUUGUAACUUAAUAAUUCUAAACUGGAAAAUUAGACCACAAAACUGGACACUGAAUAAAUUUACUCCUUUGAAUAUGGUCUCUGCACCUUAACAAAACACAUCACAGUGAGUUAAUAAUUACUAUUUUUAUACUGUGUUAUUUUAUGGAAAGUAUCUCUCACCAGCAGGAAAGUACAAGGACUUCUAGGAUUCACUGGGGUAUAAUGAAAGUUGCCAAAAAUGUAAACUAAUACAGAUUUUCUUAUGAACCAUGAAAAUAUUAUGUUUAAACUAAAACUGUAACCUUUAGCCUUUGUAUGAGAACAGCAAAAAUAUGAACAGGGAUUUUAAAAAAAUGUGUGUACGUAGACAUCUGAGGUCUCAGGCCUUAUUUUUUUAUUAAAUAAAUAGGGUCCGAGACCUCAGAUGGCUAGAAAAUACCAGCCAACUAAACUAACAUGAGAAGAUCAAUGGAUGAUCUGUAAGUGGAAAAAUUCUAUUCUGAUUAAAUCUACACAAAGGAUCCCUCUUUUUCCUUCCCAAAUGCUUUAGUGUACAUUUAAUUGCAGCAAGAUACCUUUUCACCUCCAUUAGGACAUUUUUUUUUUCUGGGAUUUUUCCAUUCUGCUUUUACUUCCUCCACUCAGGAAGUCAACAGACUGUAGCCAACAUACCAGCAGUACUCUUAGGACAGCAGUGACCUACCCAGCAUUCAGCAUCCAGCAACAAAGUCAAGACAAAAGAAAUAGUCACCUUGAGAGUCAAAAAUAGUAAGCUCCCAGGAUUCUGUUAGAAUACCAGAGUAUUGAAAGAGGCCAGGAUAUCAUUUCAGCUUUCUAGACCAGCUGUGGGGGUGUACAGUCAAGCCAGAAAGCUUAUGAAGAACAAAGGCAGUAAAACCAAACAUAGACAGUUCUUUGAAUCUGUGAUCUUUCCUUGCUUGAUAAAGUUCAGUUGUAGAAUUGAGCUGAAACUGUUUACUGAGCUAAUUUAUACUAACAGUUAAUUUUGACAACAACACGAGCCAUUUUUUCUCAUUUUGAAUUUUAACCAAAAGAAGCCCUAUUUUGAGGAUUGGGCACAAAAAUCCAGAAAUCUUUGAAUGUCUUAAAAACGGGAUGCUGUGACUUUUCUAUUUUGAAACUCGUUUCCCAUUCAGAGCAGAGCAAAUCUUUUUCUUUCUUUUCUUUUUCUUUUUUAACUAAAGGGAAUAAAAGGGUUAAAUAACCUGAAAGAAGAAAAGGAUCAAAUGAAUGUUCGGCCUGACCCCAGGCAUUUCUUCAAGGUUUUGUUUCAAUAACCCAACUAAAAUAUCCCUUGUUAACAUGAUUCUAAGUACAAGGUACCUUAACAACAAUUCCCGGGAGAUGUCGUAACACCUUUGUCAAAUUCAGUUUAAUGUCAGAGUGGCUGAGAACAUGUUCAUUCUAUGAAAAAAGGUACUUUAACAUUUCCAUCCUAAUUUUGGAAGAAAACAAAUGUUGAAGUAUUAGAAUUUCCCCCAGGAUGAAAAUUCUAAUAUUUUGCUCAGCUCUGGUUUCCAAUAACUCUUACACUUUAAUUUUGUGAUAUUUAACUUAAUGUUUCCCAUGUGAGUAUUAUAGCACUAGUGGGUAAAACUUUAGUCACCUCACAGAUUAGGCAUGCAAAGGAAAACAGUUCAUAUAUGUACAGGGACAGAUUUCUGCCUUCACAAGUGCCUUCCUCUUGUUUCCCCUGCUGAUGAGAUGUCAGUUUAUUACAGACUUGAUGAAUGGAGUUUCCUUUCUCAGGAAACAG
This is a long non-coding RNA of Gallus gallus (chicken), 6791 nucleotides long. Lineage: Eukaryota; Metazoa; Chordata; Aves; Galliformes; Phasianidae. The record is from Ensembl.